This is a long non-coding RNA of Ochotona curzoniae (black-lipped pika), 930 nucleotides long. RefSeq lists it as uncharacterized. The record is from RefSeq and is a predicted model, not a curated record. NCBI's taxonomy places the organism in Eukaryota, Metazoa, Chordata, Mammalia, Lagomorpha, Ochotonidae. The transcript is spliced from 2 exons.
AUGUUCUUCCAUCUGCUGGUUCAUUCUCCAAAUGGCCACAACAUCCACAGCUAAGUGAUGUGAAGACAUGGGCCCAAGAACAGGUCUGGAGAUGCAGGAUAUGAUUAGGAAGGUGAUAGGAAGCCAGGUUCUCCAGGGAUUUGCACCUUGUAAGGGUCAGACUCAGUCACUGAAGGGUUUUGGAUGGCAAAUGAAGGGAUCAGAGGCGGGUUUGAGGAAAUGCCCUCAGCACAUGGUUUUUCUGUUUUAAUGUGUUAGAAGCUUGAGGACUUUAGCAUGAAAAGUACUGCCUGGCUGGGGUAGUUCAGCAGCCACUUCAGCAUGCUCAGCUGGGACUAAACGGAAGGAGCCCAUUUGCUGCUGGGGAAGCACCCCCAUCUCAGGCUCAUGAGUGGUCUUGUGUCAGUGCACUGGAAUUCCAUGUAGUAGAAGGGUUCUGCUGGAAAGAUCAAUUAAAAACUCAACAAACUAAUAAUAUGUGUUGGACACCUGUAGAAGGCAGGUCGGGUAGAAUUGUUCUGUUCAAGCACUGGGGCAAUGAUAGUCUCAGUGUGAAGUGAAAACAAAUGAUUUGUGGAGGGGGAGAUGGUCGGGAGGCCAGAGCUCACUGUGACGCGUCAGCCUGGAUAUUCAUGUCCUUAAUAUUCACCCCUGAGCAAAUGUUUGAAAGUGUGUUCAUUUCAACAGGUGCAAAUUCAGCACGCCAAGGAAGAAUCGCUUGCUGAUGAUCUCUUUAGAUAUAAUCCUAAUGCAAAAAGAAGAAGAUAACUGAAGGUUUUAAAAAGAAGCUGUGAGGAACGAUUUCUAGCAAACACUUCACGCUAACUGGGUUAUAUACAUUUAGUAUAUAGAAGAAAUUUAAGUCACAAAUAUUUUAUGGCCUAAGUUUGUUUAAUAAAAUGGACAAAACUCUGUUCCUUUCUUGUGUAA